RNAcentral lists this ribosomal RNA (409 nucleotides) under uncultured prokaryote. RNAcentral's name for it is "bacterial SSU rRNA". It matches the Rfam family "Archaeal small subunit ribosomal RNA", at positions 339 to 747 of the family's 1478-position model. The record is from RNAcentral.
GCGCGAAACCUUUACACUGCACGACAGUGCGAUAGGGGGAUUCCGAGUGCGAGGGCAUACAGUCCUCGCUUUUCUGUACCGUAAGGUGGUACAGGAAUAAGGGCUGGGCAAGACCGGUGCCAGCCGCCGCGGUAAUACCGGCAGCUCGAGUGAUGACCGAUUUUAUUGGGCCUAAAGCGUCCGUAGCCGGCCAGGUAGGUCCGUCGGGAAAUCCACUCGCCUAACGAGUGGGCGUCCGGCGGAUACCGCCUGGCUUGGGAUCGGGAGACCAGAGGGGUACGUCUGGGGUAGGAGUGAAAUCCUGUAAUCCUGGACGGACCAUCGGUGGCGAAAGCGCCUCUGGAGAACGAAUCCGACGGUGAGGGACGAAAGCUAGGGUCUCGAACCGGAUUAGAUACCCCCGUAGUCC